This 785-nucleotide ribosomal RNA is filed under the name uncultured Glomus. RNAcentral describes it as "SSU rRNA". It matches the Rfam family "Eukaryotic small subunit ribosomal RNA", at positions 325 to 1111 of the family's 1831-position model. Lineage: Eukaryota; Fungi; Glomeromycota; Glomeromycetes; Glomerales; Glomeraceae. The record is from RNAcentral.
AUGGUAGGAUAGAGGCCUACCAUGGUGGUAACGGGUAACGGGGUGUUAGGGCACGACACCGGAGAGGGAGCCUGAGAAACGGCUACCACAUCCAAGGAUGGCAGCAGGCGCGCAAAUUACCCAAUCCCGACACGGGGAGGUAGUGACAAUAAAUAACAAUACGGGGUUCUUUAGGAUCUCGUAAUUGGAAUGAGUACAAUUUAAAUCUCUUAACGAGGAACAAUUGGAGGGCAAGUCUGGUGCCAGCAGCCGCGGUAAUUCCAGCUCCAAUAGCGUAUAUUAAAGUUGUUGCAGUUAAAAAGCUUGUAGUUGAAUUUNGGGGUCAGUAGGUCGGUCGUGCCACUGGUAUGAACUGGUUUUACUGAUUCCUCCCUCUUGAAGAACUGUAAUGCCAUUAAUUUGGUGUUGCAGGGAAUCAGGACUGUUACUUUGAAAAAAUUAGAGUGUUUAAAGCAGGCUUUAGCUUGAAUACAUUAGCAUGGAAUAAUGAAAUAGGACGUUUGAUCCUAUUUUGUUGGUUUCUAGGAUUGACGUAAUGAUUAAUGGGGAUAGUUGGGGGCAUUAGUAUUCAAUUGUCAGAGGUGAAAUUCUUGGAUUUAUUGAAGACUAACUACUGCGAAAGCAUUUGCCAAGGAUGUUUUCAUUAAUCAAGAACGAAAGUUAGGGGAUCGAAGACGAUCAGAUACCGUCGUAGUCUUAACCAUAAACUAUGCCGACUAGGGAUCGGAUGAUGUUAAUUUUUUAAUGACUCAUUCGGCGCCUUACGGGAAACCAAAGUGUUUGGG